GCGAACGGGUGAGUAACACGUGGGCAAUCUGCCCUUCACUCUGGGACAAGCCCUGGAAACGGGGUCUAAUACCGGAUAACACCGGCUUCCGCAUGGAAGCUGGUUAAAAGCUCCGGCGGUGAAGGAUGAGCCCGCGGCCUAUCAGCUUGUUGGUGGGGUAAUGGCCUACCAAGGCGACGACGGGUAGCCGGCCUGAGAGGGCGACCGGCCACACUGGGACUGAGACACGGCCCAGACUCCUACGGGAGGCAGCAGUGGGGAAUAUUGCACAAUGGGCGAAAGCCUGAUGCAGCGACGCCGCGUGAGGGAUGACGGCCUUCGGGUUGUAAACCUCUUUCAGCAGGGAAGAAGCGAAAGUGACGGUACCUGCAGAAGAAGCGCCGGCUAACUACGUGCCAGCAGCCGCGGUAAUACGUAGGGCGCAAGCGUUGUCCGGAAUUAUUGGGCGUAAAGAGCUCGUAGGCGGCUUGUCACGUCGGGUGUGAAAGCCCGGGGCUUAACCCCGGGUCUGCAUCCGAUACGGGCAGGCUAGAGUGUGGUAGGGGAGAUCGGAAUUCCUGGUGUAGCGGUGAAAUGCGCAGAUAUCAGGAGGAACACCGGUGGCGAAGGCGGAUCUCUGGGCCAUUACUGACGCUGAGGAGCGAAAG
Molecule: ribosomal RNA, 647 nt
Filed under: Streptomyces sp. ACS18
Lineage: Bacteria; Bacillati; Actinomycetota; Actinomycetes; Kitasatosporales; Streptomycetaceae
Description: bacterial SSU rRNA
Rfam family: Bacterial small subunit ribosomal RNA
Source: RNAcentral